This 1249-nucleotide ribosomal RNA is filed under the name uncultured Gammaproteobacteria bacterium. RNAcentral describes it as "bacterial SSU rRNA". It matches the Rfam family "Bacterial small subunit ribosomal RNA", at positions 9 to 1252 of the family's 1533-position model. Lineage: Bacteria; Pseudomonadati; Pseudomonadota; Gammaproteobacteria. The record is from RNAcentral.
GAGUUUGAUCCUGGCUCAGAUUGAACGCUGGCGGCAGGCUUAACACACGCAAGUCGAACGGUAACAUGAGUGCUUGCACUUGAUGACGAGUGGCGGACGGGUGAGUAAUGUAUGGGGAUCUGCCGAAUGGAGGGGGACAACAGUUGGAAACGACUGCUAAUACCGCAUAAAGUUGAGAGACCAAAGCAUGGGACCUUCGGGCCAUGCGCCAUUUGAUGAACCCAUAUGGGAUUAGCUAGUUGGUAGGGUAAUGGCUUACCAAGGCGACGAUCUCUAGCUGGUCUGAGAGGAUGACCAGCCACACUGGAACUGAGACACGGUCCAGACUCCUACGGGAGGCAGCAGUGGGGAAUAUUGCACAAUGGGGGGAACCCUGAUGCAGCCAUGCCGCGUGUAUGAAGAAGGCCUUCGGGUUGUAAAGUACUUUCGGUGAUGAGGAAGGUGACGUAUCUAAUAGGUAUGUUAAUUGACGUUAAUUACAGAAGAAGCACCGGCUAACUCCGUGCCAGCAGCCGCGGUAAUACGGAGGGUGCGAGCGUUAAUCGGAAUGACUGGGCGUAAAGGGCAUGUAGGCGGAUAAUUAAGUUAGGUGUGAAAGCCCUGGGCUCAACCUAGGAAUUGCACUUAAAACUGGUUAACUAGAGUAUUGUAGAGGAAGGUAGAAUUCCACGUGUAGCGGUGAAAUGCGUAGAGAUGUGGAGGAAUACCGGUGGCGAAGGCGGCCUUCUGGACAGAUACUGACGCUGAGAUGCGAAAGCGUGGGGAGCAAACAGGAUUAGAUACCCUGGUAGUCCACGCUGUAAACGAUGUCGAUUUGGAGUUUGUUGCCUUGAGUGAUGGGCUCCGAAGCUAACGCGAUAAAUCGACCGCCUGGGGAGUACGGCCGCAAGGUUAAAACUCAAAUGAAUUGACGGGGGCCCGCACAAGCGGUGGAGCAUGUGGUUUAAUUCGAUGCAACGCGAAGAACCUUACCUGGUCUUGACAUCCACAGAAUCUUGCAGAGAUGCGGGAGUGCCUUCGGGAACUGUGAGACAGGUGCUGCAUGGCUGUCGUCAGCUCGUGUUGUGAAAUGUUGGGUUAAGUCCCGCAACGAGCGCAACCCUUAUCCUUUGUUGCCAUCGGUUUGGCCGGGAACUCGAAGGAGACUGCCGUUGAUAAAGCGGAGGAAGGUGGGGACGACGUCAAGUCAUCAUGGCCCUUACGACCAGGGCUACACACGUGCUACAAUGGCGUAUACAAAGGGAGGCGA